This 274-nucleotide ribosomal RNA is filed under the name uncultured bacterium. Its description in RNAcentral is "partial 16S ribosomal RNA". It matches the Rfam family "Bacterial small subunit ribosomal RNA", at positions 523 to 796 of the family's 1533-position model. The record is from RNAcentral.
CUACGGAGGGUGCAAGCGUUAUUCGGAAUCACUGGGCGUAAAGGACGCGUAGGCGGGUUGGCAAGUCAGAUGUGAAAUCCUACAGCUUAACUGUAGAACUGCAUUUGAAACUGCUAACCUAGAGUAUGGGAGGGGGAGAUGGAAUUAGUGGUGUAGGGGUAAAAUCCGUAGAUAUCACUAGGAAUACCGAAAGCGAAGGCGAUCUCCUGGAACAUAACUGACGCUAAGGCGUGAAAGCGUGCGGAGCAAACAGGAUUAGAUACCCUAGUAGUCC